This 219-nucleotide non-coding RNA is filed under the name Alkalithermobacter thermoalcaliphilus. Its description in RNAcentral is "Clostridium paradoxum T-box sequence". It matches the Rfam family "T-box leader". From Rfam's summary of the family: Uncharged tRNA acts as the effector for transcription antitermination of genes in the T-box leader family. T-boxes are found upstream of many aminoacyl-tRNA synthetase genes and some amino acid biosynthetic genes usually in Gram-positive bacteria. The anticodon of a specific tRNA base pairs to a specifier sequence within the T-box motif, and the NCCA acceptor tail of the tRNA base pairs to a conserved bulge in the T-box antiterminator hairpin. Lineage: Bacteria; Bacillati; Bacillota; Clostridia; Peptostreptococcales; Tepidibacteraceae. The record is from RNAcentral.
UUAAAUGCUAUGAUGGAGAAAAGUACUUUGAUCUAUUUUAUCACAGAGAGGGAUAUUAUUAGCUGAGAGUAUCCUAUAAAAUGACAAAGGAAGUUCACUCCGGAGCUUUAAGGUCGAAAAAGUUAGAGUAGGCCUUAACGUUAUGAUGCGUUAAUUCAUUAGAGAGGUCUUUUAAAGACUAUUAGGGUGGUACCGCGGAGCUUAACUUUCGUCCCUACA